Molecule: unclassified non-coding RNA, 329 nt
Filed under: soil metagenome
Description: partial contains 5.8S ribosomal RNA, internal transcribed spacer 2, and large subunit ribosomal RNA
Rfam family: 5.8S ribosomal RNA (bases 1-120)
Source: RNAcentral
GAUGAAGAACUCAGCGAAAUGCGAUAAGUAAUGUGAAUUGCAGAAUUCAGUGAAUCAUCGAAUCUUUGAACGCACAUUGCGCCCCUUGGUAUUCCGAGGGGCAUGCCUGUUCGAGCGUCAUUAUAACCCCUCAAGCUCAGCUUGGUGUUGGGGCCUGCUGCACUGGCAGCCCUUAAAAUCAGUGGCGGCGCCAUCUGGCUCUAAGCGUAGUAAUUCUUCUCGCUAUGGAGUCCUGGUGGAUGCUUGCCAUCAACCCCCAAUUUUUCUAUGGUUGACCUCGGAUCAGGUAGGGAUACCCGCUGAACUUAAGCAUAUCAAUAAGCGGAGGA